AGUCGCGGAUGCACACUCUCGAGAGGACCCGGCGGCCAGGCACGCACCCGGGCAGAGAUGAGGCUGAGUCACGCACAGGAAGGAACGGGUAGCUGGUGGACAGCAAGAUGUGGAGGCUCAGUGCUGCUAAACCCCCAGCACUCUGCUACAGCCAAACUGAAUGCCAUUUGUUGAAUGAGCAAAGAAAUGAACGAAAGAAAAAGCGACGAUCUUUUCCAUUUCAUCUGACCACCGACAGUAUUGCUCCAAAGUAGUUUGACUCCAUCCUUCCUUUUGCACAAGGCCCCACUGCUCCCUCCCAAACAGAUGACCUGGAGACCAGGAAAGAAUUCUUGUCAAGCUCCCAGACAAAGGUUGCUCAAACAGCCAAUACCCCUUGCCCCGAGAGACCACCAAUCUGUCUCCAUCUGCUGACUGCUGGGCUUCUUCCAAAUCCUUGAGCCUGAAGUCCACUGACCUGGGGGAAUGACCCACAAGACAGAGAGAAGUGGAGGGACAUCAAGAAUGAUGGGCCCAG
Molecule: long non-coding RNA, 517 nt
Organism: Homo sapiens (human)
Lineage: Eukaryota; Metazoa; Chordata; Mammalia; Primates; Hominidae
Source: Ensembl